Long non-coding RNA from Trichoplusia ni (cabbage looper), 1026 nucleotides. RefSeq lists it as uncharacterized. Lineage: Eukaryota; Metazoa; Arthropoda; Insecta; Lepidoptera; Noctuidae. The record is from RefSeq and is a predicted model, not a curated record. The transcript has 2 exons.
AUCAUUAAAACAGUUCCUCGUCCCUAUGACUAAUACAUGAAUAAUAAUACAAUAUAUAAGUAUUACAAAAAAUAAACUUCAUUCAUGACUUUUCAAAUGAUACGAAAGCCAACCUUGAAUAUUAUUAGACAAGGACGUCAUCUAUACUCAUGUUAUAGUAAUAAAGAAACAAAGCUCUAUGCGUGUGAAUAGUGAUAGAAAUAAGUCGUCAUUGGAUCAUCCACCGACAGCUCAUCGGUCGCUCCGAGCCGGUCUGAUAUAAAUAGUCGUCUAAAAAUACACGGCACGGAUUGCACCUGCAAACGCAAAACACCUUCUAUGCUGCUUAACAAAUACCUGGAUAAAUAGACGCAGAGAAAUGCCUUGCCAGGGAAAUUCGUUACGAACGUCAUAAUAAAUUCAAACGCAGUAAAAUAUUAAAUGGGACGAGGGUGCAGAUAAAGGAGUGUCGGGAUGUCAACUAAAUAAAUGAAAUCUACAUUCUUGCCGUAAAUAAUUUAAGGCAAGCAGAGUGUUGGUGUGUGCAACUGUGCCUGUGUAUACCAAUAUGGUGAAACACCCUUACCCAUAAACAUUCUAUGAACAUGUUAUAUCAGCGUGUGAAGUCGAAAGUAUUUUUUUUCCUUAGAGGAACUUUUCUCGUCACAAGUACCUACUGCCAAAGGGCAUCAGCUUUCCGAACAUCAUAAUUAAGGGUUUGGUACGCCAUAAUUUUUCUAUAAUAAUUCAAAACAUCAUUACGUGUAAUGGCGUUAAAGAGUGGUCGUCACCGUGCCGACGCCAAGUCAGUUUGUUGAACCUGUCGCCAUCAAAUGUGUGCAUUUGUGCGGUGCGCGGGCGCAGGCGGCUCGGCGGCAGUGCAUCAACCUCCAAUAACUUGUAAUUUGUAAUUACAAACCUUUACUGCGCCCGGACGGAGCCGCAGGAAAUAGCCACGUUUACAGCUCACGUUAUACAUUAAUUUCGUAAAUCGAAUACGUGUACCCCAUGGCAUUUCCAUUAUUUGAAUAUAUUUUUACUAACGAA